This is a non-coding RNA of Paramuricea clavata, 301 nucleotides long. The record is from the annotation of a GenBank genome assembly. NCBI's taxonomy places the organism in Eukaryota, Metazoa, Cnidaria, Anthozoa, Malacalcyonacea, Plexauridae.
GUUUACGGCGGUUGUCAUUCUUUAUAAUAUAAUAAUUCAACUUCGCAUAAGUUCAAUACAGAUUUAUUUCACACAACAGACAGAAUACAACUAACAGUUUUACAGUGGUUUAUACAUUAUUUACAUAGAUAUCGUUUUACUGUGAUUGGUCAGUUUAUCACCAAAUAUGGUAAUGAGUCUCUGCUCCCUAUUUAUAUGCAACUCUAUAUCAUUUCAAUUAACAAACAACAAUAUGUCUUUUAUAACAACAUGAAUAUAUAAUUAUUAAUCAAUUACGUAAUGCAUAAGAGCACAACUUAAC